AUGAAGAUUUUCGGAUCGUAAACUCCUGUCGAAUGGGACGAAAAGGUUGCGGGUUAAUACUCCGCGAUCCUGACGGUACCGUUAAAGGAAACCCCGGCUAACUCCGUGC
This 109-nucleotide ribosomal RNA is filed under the name uncultured bacterium. Its description in RNAcentral is "partial 16S ribosomal RNA". The record is from RNAcentral.